UCCCAUCCCGCCUGUCUCUCUAACCAGAAA
RNAcentral lists this non-coding RNA (30 nucleotides) under Mus musculus (house mouse). Lineage: Eukaryota; Metazoa; Chordata; Mammalia; Rodentia; Muridae. The record is from RNAcentral.